GAUGAACGCUGGCGGCGUGCCUAAUACAUGCAAGUCGAGCGAACAGAUGAGGAGCUUGCUCCUCUGACGUUAGUGGCGGACGGGUGAGUAACACGUGGAUAACCUACCUAUAAGACUGGGAUAACUUCGGGAAACCGGAGCUAAUACCGGAUAAUAUAUUGAACCGCAUGGUUCAAUAGUGAAAGACGGUUUUGCUGUCACUUAUAGAUGGAUCCGCGCCGCAUUAGCUAGUUGGUAAGGUAACGGCUUACCAAGGCAACGAUGCGUAGCCGACCUGAGAGGGUGAUCGGCCACACUGGAACUGAGACACGGUCCAGACUCCUACGGGAGGCAGCAGUAGGGAAUCUUCCGCAAUGGGCGAAAGCUUGACGGAGCAACGCCGCGUGAGUGAUGAAGGUCUUCGGAUCGUAAAACUCUGUUAUUAGGGAAGAACAAAUGUGUAAGUAACUAUGCACGUCUUGACGGUACCUAAUCAGAAAGCCACGGCUAACUACGUG
RNAcentral lists this ribosomal RNA (497 nucleotides) under uncultured bacterium. Its description in RNAcentral is "partial 16S ribosomal RNA". It matches the Rfam family "Bacterial small subunit ribosomal RNA", at positions 28 to 507 of the family's 1533-position model. The record is from RNAcentral.